AAAGCGUGCGCAGGCGGUUAUGUAAGACAGAUGUGAAAUCCCCGGGCUCAACCUGGGAACUGCAUUAGUGACUGCAUAGCUGGAGUACGGCAGAGGGGGAUGGAAUUCCGCGUGUAGCAGUGAAAUGCGUAGAUAUGCGGAGGAACACCAAUUGCGAAGGCAGGUUACCAUGUCUUAACUGACGCUGAUGGACGAAAGCGUGGGGAGCGAACAGGAUUAGAUACCCCUGU
This 230-nucleotide ribosomal RNA is filed under the name uncultured bacterium. RNAcentral describes it as "partial 16S ribosomal RNA". It matches the Rfam family "Bacterial small subunit ribosomal RNA", at positions 562 to 791 of the family's 1533-position model. The record is from RNAcentral.